This is a long non-coding RNA of Orcinus orca (killer whale), 394 nucleotides long. RefSeq lists it as uncharacterized. The record is from RefSeq and is a predicted model, not a curated record. The transcript has 3 exons. NCBI's taxonomy places the organism in Eukaryota, Metazoa, Chordata, Mammalia, Artiodactyla, Delphinidae.
GACAUGCUGACGAGCUCCAAGACCAAGCUUUUCACAGUUCCCACAUUCCCAGCAUUCCAAGGGGAUGAUAAGAAGCUGCUGGACGAAAUCAUUUGCCCUCUGCCUUCACCAGGAAAUCACCUUCAGUGAAGCAACUGACCAUGACAAACGAUUGUACAUUUACUGGUCUCUGAAACUCUGGGUUCUUUGCUAUUUGCCCACUUUUAUAUGCAAGUUCUCUGUCAGUGAGUUUCUAUUUCAGCCAUGACAUUCCUCGGGACUUGCUUACAAAUCAGCCAGCCAGGUGUCAGAUUCCUCACACAAAUGCAGGGAAAGAAAAAAUCAUAAGCUAUUCUACGGAGAACAAGUUCUACAAAACUCAAUGAGCGAAAAAAAGGUUGUUGCUUGAGGAAGA